Molecule: ribosomal RNA, 931 nt
Filed under: Haloferax volcanii
Lineage: Archaea; Methanobacteriati; Methanobacteriota; Halobacteria; Halobacteriales; Haloferacaceae
Description: bacterial SSU rRNA
Rfam family: Archaeal small subunit ribosomal RNA
Source: RNAcentral
CCGCGGGGGGGGCGUCUGCGGAGGUCAUUGCUAUUGGGGUCCGAUUUAGCCAUGCUAGUUGCACGAGUUCAUAGCUCGUGGCGAAAAGCUCAGUAACACGUGGCCAAACUACCCUACAGAGAACGAUAACCUCGGGAAACUGAGGCUAAUAGUUCAUACGGGAGUCAUGCUGGAAUGCCGACUCCCCGAAACGCUCAGGCGCUGUAGGAUGUGGCUGCGGCCGAUUAGGUAGACGGUGGGGUAACGGCCCACCGUGCCGAUAAUCGGUACGGGUUGUGAGAGCAAGAGCCCGGAGACGGAAUCUGAGACAAGAUUCCGGGCCCUACGGGGCGCAGCAGGCGCGAAACCUUUACACUGCACGCAAGUGCGAUAAGGGGACCCCAAGUGCGAGGGCAUAUAGUCCUCGCUUUUCUCGACUGUAAGGCGGUCGUGGAAUAAGAGCUGGGCAAGACCGGUGCCAGCCGCCGCGGUAAUACCGGCAGCUCAAGUGAUGACCGAUAUUAUUGGGCCUAAAGCGUCCGUAGCCGGCCACGAAGGUUCAUCGGGAAAUCCGCCAGCUCAACUGGCGGGCGUCCGGUGAAAACCACGUGGCUUGGGACCGGAAGGCUCGAGGGGUACGUCCGGGGUAGGAGUGAAAUCCCGUAAUCUUGGACGGACCACCGAUGGCGAAAGCACCUCGAGAAGACGGAUCCGACGGUGAGGGACGAAAGCUAGGGUCUCGAACCGGAUUAGAUACCCGGGUAGUCCUAGCUGUAAACGAUGCUCGCUAGGUGUGACACAGGCUACGAGCCUGUGUUGUGCCGUAGGGAAGCCGAGAAGCGAGCCGCCUGGGAAGUACGUCCGCAAGGAUGAAACUUAAAGGAAUUGGGCGGGGGAAGCACUACAACCGAGAGGAGCCUGCUGUUUAAUGAUCACCCCCCCCCCGAGGAAA